GUGCUUGUUUCAGCAGCAUAUAUAAUGAAAUUGGAAAGAUACAGUGAAUAUUAGCAUGGUCCCUGCACAAUGAUGACAUACAAAUUCAUGAAGUGUUCCGUAUUAUU
Molecule: small nuclear RNA, 107 nt
Organism: Loxodonta africana (African savanna elephant)
Lineage: Eukaryota; Metazoa; Chordata; Mammalia; Proboscidea; Elephantidae
Source: Ensembl